This 700-nucleotide ribosomal RNA is filed under the name Zunongwangia sp. RNAcentral describes it as "bacterial SSU rRNA". It matches the Rfam family "Bacterial small subunit ribosomal RNA", at positions 80 to 780 of the family's 1533-position model. The record is from RNAcentral. Lineage: Bacteria; Pseudomonadati; Bacteroidota; Flavobacteriia; Flavobacteriales; Flavobacteriaceae.
GCACUCAGCUGACGACCGGCGCACGGGUGCGUAACGCGUAUGCAAUCUACCUCUUACUGAGGGAUAGCCCAUGGAAACGUGGAUUAAUACCUCAUAGUAUUAUAGACUGGCCUCAGUUUAUGAUUAAAGGUUACGGUAAGAGAUGAGCAUGCGUCCUAUUAGCUAGAUGGUAAGGUAACGGCUUACCAUGGCUACGAUAGGUAGGGGUCCUGAGAGGGAGAUCCCCCACACUGGUACUGAGACACGGACCAGACUCCUACGGGAGGCAGCAGUGAGGAAUAUUGGACAAUGGGCGAGAGCCUGAUCCAGCCAUGCCGCGUGCAGGAAGACGGCCCUAUGGGUUGUAAACUGCUUUUACAGAGGAAGAACCCUCCUUACGUGUAAGGAGCUGACGGUACUCUAUGAAUAAGGAUCGGCUAACUCCGUGCCAGCAGCCGCGGUAAUACGGAGGAUCCAAGCGUUAUCCGGAAUCAUUGGGUUUAAAGGGUCCGUAGGCGGGUCUAUAAGUCAGUGGUGAAAGUCUGCAGCUUAACUGUAGAACUGCCAUUGAUACUGUAGACCUUGAAUUAGUAUGAAGUGGUUAGAAUGUGUAGUGUAGCGGUGAAAUGCAUAGAUAUUACACAGAAUACCGAUUGCGAAGGCAGAUCACUAAUACUAUAUUGACGCUGAUGGACGAAAGCGUAGGUAGCGAACAGGAUUA